This 2790-nucleotide long non-coding RNA is filed under the name Sus scrofa (pig). RNAcentral's name for it is "lncRNA (ENSSSCG00040053411.1)". The record is from RNAcentral. Lineage: Eukaryota; Metazoa; Chordata; Mammalia; Artiodactyla; Suidae.
CUCUCCUUCCAGAACGGUCUCUGACUGUGGAGACCGUUACUCAGGGCCCAUCAUGAAACUUUGGAAUUCUGAAAAAUGGAAAGCGGAUAAGGCGCAUGGCAGCCUUUUUGUGCUCAGGCUACCAGAGAGCUCAUCAGCCCCACCCUUGGGGCCAUCUUAAACUGCCAGGGCUCCUGCAAAAAGCACAAAAAUGCAACACCCACGGCGCCAAACGGACUGCCAAAAGGCCACUUGUUUACAAAUCGAGUUGAAACAGAAGCCAGAGCGUCACCUUGUCUGACCUCAGCUGGGAGCAGGUGCUUCGGACGCUCCCGUCUGUGGCUGCUCCACCCAUGUCACAGAUGCCCAGGCGCUGCGUGUCCUGAUCUGGGAGUUACAAUAAACUGAGCGAGAAGAUGCUACGUCUAAUGAAGUCUAGAUGAUGUGGUCUCCUCUGCUGCCCUCAGCACUCACCCUUAGUGGACUUCCAGCACAUUCCACUGUGGAGAGAACCAAACACCUCCUUACGAUCAGCUCCUAGUGUCACUUUCUCUCGGGGCAGCAAAGCCACUGAGAUUUCCCGGAGGCCUCGCUCCGUGCGUCCACGCUGUCGGGGGAGAGGUCACGUGGAGUUCAUCCCUCAUCAGACGGCCUGGCUGCAAAGCGGCUGGGCCUGCAGGUCACAGGCCAGCCCCAGGCCUGUUUGGUCUGUGGCCCCUGAGAUUCACCUGGGAAGCCCUAAGGAGACCCGUGCUUCGCAGGGCAAAGACGCAGGCGGGUCUGUCUGGUCCUCCUGGAGGGGGACAGGGAAGGGCCUUGGGACCAGCUGAAUCACCUGCUGGUACCCUCCCAGCCGUGCCAGGGUUGCGGCUGUCUGGAGGGGAAGGGUUUCCUCUUUAAAACGGCCCUGAAAGGUCCACAGUGCAUCGGGACGGCUCGGGCCGGGGCUCUCAGCCUCUCCUGGGCGCGGCGGAGUCACCGGGCAUGCGCAUUAAAGACAUAGGCAGCAGGUCUGGUCCAGGCGAGCCCCCCCCCACCCCACCGCUCCGAGGUGGCCUGGACCCGGGAUGACGGAGGGCAUCAGGGUCCCCGGGCGCCCCACUCAGGGGGCUUGUGAGUGUGAGGCGCUGGCUGGGGUCCUUCCGAGGAGCUCGUGUGGGGCGCGUGACGGCCGGGGUCUGGCCGGGGCCCUACACGCCGCACUUGCCAUUAGAUGGGCUGAGAAGGGAACGGCGAAUCUUAACCUUUCACACCGAGGAAGCGGCUGCGGGAGACGAGGGACACCAGACGUCAAGUAACCUGACAUCCUCAGCCAUCGAAGAGAUUAGAUCAAGGAAUCUGGCCUGAUACGUUUACUGAAGAUCCGCUGGCGAACUCCUUAAAGAGAGACACAAGCAGAAUGAAAUGAAAACCAAAUCACUCCGCCUUCCAUCCUGUAAACCUCUUGGGAUUCCCAGAAGUUAGAUUAUUUGGUCUAUGACGCCAGAUGGCUUUGGAAUUUUGGAGAAGUAGUGUCCACUGGUCGUCUCGAGGAGCUGUAUUUCCAUACCUUCUCUGGCGAUGAUGUUUAUUUUUAUAAACUUUGUUAAUUUGAUAGGUCAAAUGAUUCUAAAAGAAUUUCCAAAGAAUUUAUCUUUAGCUGGAAUGUACUGGACUCGCCAGCUGAGAUAAAAAUCUACACUAAGCAGCUAACCAAUUAUCUCAUCAUCCCUUUGAAUCAUUCAUCCUUUCAACAAUUAUUUGAAAUGCCAUCCAGGUAUGAGGAGAAAUUAGCCCUCUUUUGCUUGGGUGACUGGAGAACUGUCUUCAAAUACUCUUCUGUCUCCGAAGUGGAUGGAGGAUUGACAGAUUCUGGCCCCAGAGACUAGAGGUUGGAGCAGUGGAUGGAAACAAAGCUGACCCAUUCACCAAGAGGUACAGAGGAGGUGACUCAUUGCCAGGAGGCACCAAGCAACUGCCUGGAAUUGAAACACCCUUGGCAGGAGUCACACCCCUUCCAGAACUGCUGUAAAGGUGUCCCCUGGUCGUCUGAGGAGGAUGGAUGUGUGAACUGAGAUGGGCAUUUGCCGUCUGCCUCCACGUGGAUUAAAUCACGAGCCACCGCAGCUGCCGACCUGCUACAGCCCCUGAGUGGAGGCCCUCUGUGCUCUGGGAAAACUGGAAGAGCAGGUCUUCAGAUAGUUAGAUACUUUUAGGAGAAGAUUUUAGAUGCAUACAUCUCGCAUCUCCUUGUAUCCAGAAAAACACGAAUAUCCUUCAUGGUGAUGUCUGCCCCUCGUGACUAGCGGUAACCUUCGCCCGCAGCAAAAUUUUGUGAAAUGUGUGUCUGGCUGCAGACCCCUCCCCCUCCCCUUUGACACAUGCCCUGAUGUUAUUUCCCCUUUCCUCUUUGGGGCAGUACAUCAUCGCUGUCUGAAACGCUGCCUCCUUGGCUGCAGUUAAGUCCACGAAACAAAAAGAUGUCACAGUCAUCUGUGAGUGCAGCCACUCCCAAGGGUGAGCCAGUGAGUCCUGAGGGAGCUCGGGAAAGAAACAAAGAAAACUGGCCCCGGACGGCUGAGGUGCAGAGCAAAGGAGUGAUUCCAGUGAGCCCAGACAUUUGCAUCUGCCCAUAGAAAAGCCCUGACUUCCUUAACUCCAGAUAUCUGGUUUUCCGUCAUCUUUUGUUCUCACUCCCUUCCCUUUGUUGAAAAAAGCUCCUGUGCAUCCUAGCUCCUCCCUCAUCUCCUCAGAGCAGUUUCUCGGGGCUACCUGAGAUGCUGUGUCCUAGGCUUAAGUCCUCAUUUGGCCCCCAAUAAAACUUAACUGUCA